GGCAUCUCUCGCGUGCUCUUGCUCGCGCACUAAUUUGUCCUCCACCGCCUCCCGUUCAGGCCGGCUCUCCUGCGGGGCGGGGAAAGGGGUGGGAAGAGGCUGGGAGCUGCGGCCGCUGUGCCAGGGUGACCGGUAGAGCUGUAGCCGAGGUGGCGGCGCGGGGCGGGGCGGGCGGAGAGAGAAGGAAGGAGGUGGUUGUGCAGGAUGGCGACGGCGGCCUACGAGCAGCUGAAGCUGCAUAUCACACCUGAAAAAUUUUAUGUGGAAGCUUGUGAUGAUGGAGCAGAUGAUGUACUUACCAUCGACCGUGUGUCCACAGAGGUUACCCUUGCAGUCAAGAAAGAUGUUCCUCCUUCAGCUGUCACAAGACCAAUAUUUGGUAUACUGGGCACAAUCCAUCUGGUGGCAGGUAAUUAUCUUAUAGUCAUUACCAAAAAGAUAAAAGUAGGUGAAUUUUUCAGUCAUGUAAUCUGGAAAGCAACAGAUUUUGAUGUCCUUUCUUAUAAGAAGACAAUGUUGCACUUAACUGAUAUUCAGUUACAAGAUAAUAAAACCUUCCUAGCGAUGCUAAACCAUGUCUUGAAUGUGGAUGGAUUUUACUUUUCAACAACAUAUGAUUUGACCCAUACUUUGCAGCGGCUAUCCAACACUAGUCCUGAAUUCCAAGAAAUGAGUCUCUUGGAAAGGGCAGAUCAGCGAUUUGUAUGGAAUGGUCAUCUUCUAAGAGAACUUUCUGCACAGCCAGAGGUAAUGUACACGAAAUAAAAUCUGCUUAAUUGUUACAGUCCAAGCUUUAAUUCAAUGCAUACUAUAAAGUGACUUCCUAAUCACCAAGAAUUUCGAGAAACAAUUCUAAUUUAACUGUUUAUAACUUAGAAACUUGGAUCAGGUCUACCCUGUCACAUCAUUCUAGGUUGAAGAAGCCUAACUAUUUUACUCUGAUCUUCUAUAGAAGCCUUAAA
Molecule: small RNA, 962 nt
Filed under: Pan troglodytes (chimpanzee)
Lineage: Eukaryota; Metazoa; Chordata; Mammalia; Primates; Hominidae
Description: retained intron
Source: RNAcentral